Molecule: non-coding RNA, 168 nt
Organism: Meleagris gallopavo (turkey)
Lineage: Eukaryota; Metazoa; Chordata; Aves; Galliformes; Phasianidae
Source: RefSeq, a predicted model, not a curated record
CAGCAAGGAGCUGAGCCCCUGGUGGAGAGGCAAGCACGGCUUCCAGGUUGGAUUUUUUCCUGGCGACUGUGUGGAGCUCAUUACUAACAAUGUUCCUGAGGCUCUCCUCAACUCAGUGCCAAAGCCAGCGCCAAAGAAACGCGGCAAGCUCAUCACCUUCCUUCGUUC